This 497-nucleotide ribosomal RNA is filed under the name uncultured bacterium. RNAcentral's name for it is "partial 16S ribosomal RNA". It matches the Rfam family "Bacterial small subunit ribosomal RNA", at positions 28 to 507 of the family's 1533-position model. The record is from RNAcentral.
GAUGAACGCUGGCGGCGUGCCUAAUACAUGCAAGUCGAGCGAACAGACGAGGAGCUUGCUCCUCUGCCGUUAGCGGCGGACGGGUGAGUAACACGUGGAUAACCUACCUAUAAUACUGGGAUCACUUCGGGCAACCGGAGCUAAUACCGGAUAAUAUAUUUAACCGCAUGGUUCAAUAGUGAAAGACGGUUUUGCUGUCACUUAUAGAUGGUUCCGCGCCGCAUUAGCUAGUUGGUAAGGUAACGGCUUACCAAGGCGACGAUGCGUAGCCGACCUGAGAGGGUGAACCGCCACACUGGAACUGAGACACGGUACAGACUCCUACGGGAGGCAGCAGUAGGGAAUCUUCCGCAAUGGGCGAAAGCCUGACGGAGCAACGCCGCGUGAGUGAUGAAGGUCUUCGGAUCGUAAAACUCUGUUAUUAGGGAAGAACAAAUGUGUAAGUAACUAUGCACGUCUUGACGGUACCUAAUCAGAAAGCCACGGCUAACUACGUG